This 1217-nucleotide ribosomal RNA is filed under the name Oikeobacillus pervagus. RNAcentral describes it as "partial 23S ribosomal RNA". It matches the Rfam family "Bacterial large subunit ribosomal RNA", at positions 1 to 1212 of the family's 2925-position model. Lineage: Bacteria; Bacillati; Bacillota; Bacilli; Caryophanales; Bacillaceae. The record is from RNAcentral.
GGUUAAGUUAGAAAGGGCGCACGGUGGAUGCCUUGGCACUAGGAGCCGAUGAAGGACGGGACUAACUCCGAUAUGCUUCGGGGAGCUGUAAGUAAGCUUUGAUCCGGAGAUUUCCGAAUGGGGGAACCCCCUGCUCGUAAUGGAGUAGGAUCCAUAUCUGAAUUCAUAGGGUAUGGAAGGCAGACCUGGGGAACUGAAACAUCUAAGUACCCAGAGGAAGAGAAAGCAAUUGCGAUUCCCCAAGUAGCGGCGAGCGAAACGGGAUUAGCCCAAACCAAGAGGCUUGCCUCUUGGGGUUGUAGGACACUCUAUACGGAGUCAUAAAAGAAUGAAGUAGAUGAACAGGUCUGGAAAGGCCGGUCAAAGAAGGUAACAACCCUGUAAUCAAAACUUCGUUCUCUCUUGAGUGGAUCCUGAGUACGGCGGGACACGAGAAAUCCCGUCGGAAGCUGGGAGGACCAUCUCCCAAGGCUAAAUACUCCCUAGUGACCGAUAGUGAACCAGUACCGUGAGGGAAAGGUGAAAAGCACCCCGGGAGGGGAGUGAAAGAGAACCUGAAACCGUGUGCCUACAAGUAGUCAGAGCCCGUUAACGGGUGAUGGCGUGCCUUUUGUAGAAUGAACCGGCGAGUUACGAUUUCAUGCAAGGUUAAGUUGAAUAGACGGAGCCGUAGCGAAAGCGAGUCUGAAUAGGGCGAAUGAAGUAUGAGGUCGUAGACCCGAAACCAGGUGAUCUACCCAUGUCCAGGGUGAAGGUAAGGUAACACUUACUGGAGGCCCGAACCCACGUACGUUGAAAAGUGCGGGGAUGAGGUGUGGGUAGGGGUGAAAUUCCAAUCGAACUUGGAGAUAGCUGGUUCUCUCCGAAAUAGCUUUAGGGCUAGCCUCAAGGGAAGAGUCUUGGAGGUAGAGCACUGUUUGGACUAGGGGCCCUCAUCGGGUUACCGAAUUCAGAUAAACUCCGAAUGCCAGAGACUUACUCCUUGGGAGUCAGACUACGAGUGAUAAGAUCCGUGGUCAAGAGGGAAACAGCCCAGACCGCCAGCUAAGGUCCCAAAGUAUACGUUAAGUGGAAAAGGAUGUGGAGUUGCUUAGACAACCAGGAUGUUGGCUUAGAAGCAGCCACCAUUUAAAGAGUGCGUAAUAGCUCACUGGUCGAGUGACUCUGCGCCGAAAAUGUACCGGGGCUAAACGUAUCACCGAAGCUGCGGAUUGACA